Molecule: ribosomal RNA, 91 nt
Filed under: Pteropus alecto (black flying fox)
Lineage: Eukaryota; Metazoa; Chordata; Mammalia; Chiroptera; Pteropodidae
Source: RNAcentral
CUCUAUGGCCAUACCACCCUGAACAUGCCCGAUCCCGUCUGAUCUUGGAAGCUAAGCAGGGUCGGGCCUGGAAGACUGGGUGCUCUAGGCA